Long non-coding RNA from Acanthopagrus latus (yellowfin seabream), 1691 nucleotides. RefSeq lists it as uncharacterized. The transcript has 3 exons. The record is from RefSeq and is a predicted model, not a curated record. NCBI's taxonomy places the organism in Eukaryota, Metazoa, Chordata, Actinopteri, Spariformes, Sparidae.
UAUUUAUUUAUUUAUUCUUUUGGACAGAGUUUAGCUAGCUGUUUCCCUUUGAUCACUUUUUUUGUGCUAAUCUAAGAUAAUCUUUUGCUGGCUUUAACAUUAUGUUUACCAUCCACUCGCAAAACUGGUAUCAGUUUUCUGAUAUUGCAUUAUAAUUUCCCAGAAGUCAAGCUCACAUUAUUUACCCAACUGAUUAUUUGGAUUUGCCCCUGAGGUGUAAUUAAAUUUGCACCAUUAUGCUUUCAUUUUAGAGCAACUCUUAAUUGGAAUGCUUGUGUAAGUAUAAACACAAUUUGCCGUGCUCCAUAUAAGGCUGCUGUGCUUCAGUAACUAUAACAAUUCACAACAUAUUAAAACUGUAAUGGGUGUGUAUUGGGUUCAUUUUUCUAAAACUGGCUCCAGAUUUGUAGUAGCAGCUUUAAUUGCCCACAUAUCAGCUGCUUCAUUCUCUUGCUGUGUCUUUCUGAUGUGCGUUACCAUGGUUUUAUGAUCAAAGUCCUGAAAUGUAGCAGCACCCUGACAUUCUGCCUUCCUGAGGCACAUGAAUGAACACCCUCACAACUAGAUACUGUGAGCAAGCGUAUACUGCAUAGAUAAAACAGUCACACACUGACACACACUGAAAAUGAGCAUGUGGCGAUGAUAAGAUGCACAGAAAUGCAGAGAUUACGCUACACACCCGCUGCUGCAGAUCAGUUCUGCUCCACUGCAGCUUUCACAUACAGGCUGUAUAUUAUUGGCCACACCUCCGAACAUGUCAAGGAAGGCUGCCACACUCACACAUACACAUAUAUACACACACACACACACACACACACACACACACACACACACACACACACACCUAAUGGUUAACACAUUAAUCAACGUGAUAGGCUAACUGGAAGUUACGCCCUGAUGCACCUGUAACUCUCCCUGCCAUUUUCCAAGAGCCAUAAAUCACUUCACAACAACCAGAUUAAUGAAAUUGAAUUCCUUCAGCGUCCCCGUGUGUGAUUGUGUGUAGUCUACCUGUGUGUGUCUGUGUAUGUGAUUUAGUCAUCAGUGUAGUAUUGUCUGGCUAAAUGUGGAGCACCCGCCUUGCCAUGCUAAUGGAUAGGCUCCUCUAUGAUGUACAAAAGAGCCGUAUAUCCAUUUCCUGCUGAUGGUAAAUAUAUGACUCCAAACUACAUUAAGUGACAUCAUGGGGGCCUAGGGUAUGUGCGCAAUCAGGCAUACGAUGUGUGUGUGUGUGUGUGUGUGUCUGAGAAUGUAGUAUCAAGUGUCUCUUCAUGUGAUCUACUGUAACACUUGUGUUUUGAUUUAAGUCUGCAGACGACCAUUUGUUCACAUUGUAACAUUACUUCCAUACUUAAGACAUGACAUUUGUGGACAGAAGGCUAAUAGUGCAGAGGUCAAGGUGGUGGAGGACCAAGUUUCAAUUUGGGGAAAACCGAAUUAAGAGAACUUCAAGCAAAUUUAGCAGUUUAAGAGGCAAAGACACACAUCCAUCUGCCAAAAGAUACAGAAGUAUCCACUGCCAUAGCAGACUACCAAGCAACUUCAUUCUUCAGGCUGUGAGAUUCCCGGACUCAUCCUCAUCUUUACCGACUUGCAUUUUGUUGUACAAGUGACAAAUAAGUGAAGCUGGAAUCCAGUGAUUGUGAUCCAUUAACACGUUUGACAUAUUAAAUGUUUUAAAUUUGUCAUGA